CGGAGGUCUGAAACCAGGCCAGGCCGUCUGUUCCCCGUGCCCACACUAUCAUGAGUCCCCCCGAGGCCCUGGGGACAUCAGUGGCCUCCAACACUGGGGAUACUUCGUGGUCACUGCCGGGUAUAUUGAGAGCAGGUAAUUUGGAAGAAAAGGGGAGUAGCUCAAAGCCUUCCAUGUAUUUAAAAAAAAAAAAUAACGAAACGCUCUAUUUACAAUAACGAUGGCAGUUCAGCCCAGAGCAACUGACGUCACGGCUGCAGAAGGGCUCCUCCAGUGACGUCGGCCCGCAAACAGCCCCUCCCUCGCCGCCACAGCCGCAAUCGGCCGCUGCAGAGGAGCAAAUGCGCAUGCCCCGGCGAGCCGCUGUUGCCAGGGAAACCAGCCACCAGUCACAAACAAAUCACCGCCUAACUGCGCAAGUCAAGAAAUGACCCGGCCGUGGCUGUGAGCCAAAAGAGCCCCUUGCACUAAGGGCGGCCCGGGCAGCCUCCCACCCAGUGCCCCCUAUUUUCCUUCCUGAAUCAGUAAAGCCUAGAGGCUAGAGGCCAGAGUCCGAAGUCAUUAGAGAAAAAAGGCUGCGUUGGGAGUGGGGAUGGGGGUGGGGCUGUCAACAGUGGGUGGCAGGUGAUCUUAAUAAUCAAAUAUGUCUGUGAGCAACGUUUAACUCUUCUCCCACUAAGCGUCUGUGUUUCAUGCUGGAGCCUUCCACCUACAGUGAAAAGAGUGGAGAGCCAACUUCAUCUACACUUGGCUUAUUCUGCACCCAUAAAAAUCAAUGAAUGGCCUGAUGAACCAAAUGAAAACAACGAAGCAUAUGAAGAUGAUGGAUAUCCAUCAAAAUACUCAGGUGCAAUGAAAAAUGAAACUGUGAUCAAAGAGAUAAAAACCCAGAGAGAUCAUGAUAUAGCAUAUGCUAUACCAAAAAGAUACAUCAAAUGGAAUCUAGGGAAUAUGGAUUUAUAAGGUUCAAUCCAAAAGUGCCCUGUAAUCCAUUCUCAUAUAUCACUACACUAUGUGAAACAAUAAAUGCAUUAUUUAAUCAGAAAAGUAUGGCUUC
Molecule: long non-coding RNA, 1057 nt
Filed under: Vulpes vulpes (red fox)
Lineage: Eukaryota; Metazoa; Chordata; Mammalia; Carnivora; Canidae
Description: lncRNA (ENSVVUG00000000088.1)
Source: RNAcentral